UUAACUCGUUUGUAUAAUACUCGGAGAUGCUAAUAAAAAGACAAGAGUAUGCGGGCCGCCGGCGGGCGCCGCGGGUUUCCCCGGGGAGCGCCACGCCGAGGCAACGACGGUAGGUAAGAUUCACAGUGGUAUUACGGGAGUAUGACGUCCUGUAAUGAUCCCUCCGCUGGUUCACCAACGGAGA
RNAcentral lists this unclassified non-coding RNA (184 nucleotides) under uncultured fungus. Its description in RNAcentral is "sequence contains ITS1". The record is from RNAcentral. Lineage: Eukaryota; Fungi.